RNAcentral lists this long non-coding RNA (19106 nucleotides) under Lynx pardinus (Iberian lynx). The record is from RNAcentral. Lineage: Eukaryota; Metazoa; Chordata; Mammalia; Carnivora; Felidae.
UGGACCUCGGAUCCGGAGGACUAGGAGCCCCGAGUGAGUUGACGGAGUCUGGGACAAGAAGGUUUUACAGGGCCGAGCAUCGAGCAUCGGAGGGGAAGAAGAAGGGGGUGGGGGGUGGGGGGGGAAGAAAAGGAAAAAAAAGAAAAAGAAAAAAGUUGGGGGCGUGGCCUAAGAGGAGGGCAGGGACUGGGACUGCUUCCCGGUAAGGCUUAGAGCUUUCUUUCUUGAGUAGGUGGGAGUUGCUGGAGUUCUUAUGGGGUCAGAACCCAUAGGGGGCAAGUCCUAAGGAGGAGAUGCCACAAAGGGGGGAAAUAUUCAUGCUCUGGCUAAUGGAGGGGAGUUCUAUUCCAGAGGGACCGUCAGACACAUUGGAAGGAGACGCACACAUGAUGACUGGGUGGGUAGUGGGGUGAAGGGGCUCUAGUUGACCUAGUUCCCCUAUUCUCUCUUCCCAACAGCCUGUUCACACCCCUCUCUCGCCCUCCAUCCCCUCUGAGCCUCCCCCGGCCCCGUUCUGCUCCUGCGCGCAGACCCCCUCCGACCUCGGGUGACAUAGCACCUUUUGCCAGACCCCAUACCCCUCUGAGUCGCAUCGAUGUCCGGCCUGCCCUGGAUUGGGGCCCCCAACGCCAGACACUCUCUAGGCCCCCCACUCCCCGGAGAGGACCUUCUUCUGAGGCUGGGGGAGGAAGACCCCCCAGGAGUCCCCAGCACUGGAGUCAGGAGGCCAAAACACAGGUCAGCAGAGAGGUAAUGGGGAGGGGGACUACAUUUCCCAUAUGGCUACCGGCUGUCUUUCCAGGCUGGUCUGCGGGCCAUGGCCCCUUGAGCAUCAUGGGGAUUGUGGUUCAGCAUAAUCACUGCUGGGUUCAGAUGUGAGGGAAAGUGAACUUCAUUUCCCAUCAGUCCUCAGGGCUGUCUUUUCGGGCUGGUCUCUGGCCAUUACCCCUUAAGUAUUAUGGGGAUUGUAGUCCAAAAUACUGUCCUCCAAGGCCAUGCUGGGAGAAGCAGUGUGGAUUACAUCUGUCUUGUUUGUGUCUCCAGUUUCUUUCCAAGAUGUUCACUUGCUAUUUUUCUCUGAGCAUCAUGGGAUUGUAGCCCAGAAUAUCUACAGUUCACCAAAGAUGUGAGAGUGAGAGUAGAUUACAACUUCCUUUGGUCCCUGGGGCUGUUUUGCCAGGCUUGUCCCAUUAGUAUCAUCCUAUGUGUCCCCACGGUGGCACAUAGCUGGAGGACAGGUAGUUGAGAAAGUUGUGGGGCUCAGUUCUGAACCUCAGUGAGUCUCCUGAGUCACAUCAAUUCUGGACACAUCCACUCUAAUAUUUGUUACUAAAACAUGCCAAUUUCUAACCAUCUCUGUUUCGAUAUUCCUCCCAGGCCCCCUCUGGGUCCACGUAUCUCCAGCUCCCCCCGAGAGCUCCCGGGACCCGGGCUUCCAUGGUUUUAUUGGUAGGUGUCCUGGAGCACCUUGAAUCUGCCAGAGCCCCCUUCCUUGCUUUCUUUGCUAUGGAGAAUGUCAUCUCCCGGACUUGUGUGCCUAGAGAAGACUGGGUAUUUCCAGGUCCCUUGGCAGACUCUUCUGUUAGUUUCCUAAGACUGUUGCAAACUGGGUGGCAUGCAUAUAGAAUAUCUCUCCAUUCAUUCAUAUCAUCUUCCGGGUAUAUAUUUGAGUUUUAAGUUUUUUUCCGCAGGGAUCUUGUGUGCUCUUAGUUAAGGUAAUUCCUAAAUUCCCGAUAGUUUUUAUAGCUAUUUGAAUGGUAUCUUUUUCUUUUUUCUUUUUUCUUUUUUUAACGUUUAUUCAUUUUUUGAUAGAGAGACAGAGCAUGAGGGGGGGAGGGGCAGAGAGAAAAGGAGACACAGAAUGCAGAGCGGGCUCCAGGCUCUGAACUGGCAGCACAGGGCCCAACGUGGGACUCGAACUCACAGACCGUGAGAUCAUGACCUGAGCUGAAGUUGGACGCUUAACCAACUGAGCCACCCAGGUGCCCCCCGCCGCCUUUUUUUUUUUUUUUUAAAUGUUUUCUAGCUAUGGAUGGUAUAGAGAUAUAUGAUUGAUGUUUGGAACUUCAUCUUUCCUCUGGGAUCCUUUCUGAAUUCUCUUAUUUUAUUUUUAUUUAUUUAUUUAUUUAUUUUAAGUAAUGUCUACACCCAUCGUGGGGCUUGAACUCACAAACCCCAAGAUCAAAAGUCACAUGCUCCACUGAUUGAGCCACUGAAUUCAGGCGCUCCUGAAUUCUCUUAUUCUGAUCACUCUUUGAUUUUGUUGGUUUCUCUGGGUAGGUGAGCAUAUCAUCUGUAAAUAAUAGUGGUUUUACUUUUCCCUUUCCUAUCCUUACACUUCGUUUUGUUUUCUUUUUCUUUUCUAAUAGCAUCGGUCAAGAUCUCUACUAGUGUGUGAAACUGUAACAGUAGUAGUGAGCAUCCUUAUUUUAUUUUCUCUUGUAAAAGAAAUGUCUGUGUGGUGCCUGGGUGGCUCCGUCGGUUGAGCGUCCGACUUCGGCUCAGGUCAUGAUCUCACGGUCUGUGAGUUCCAGCCCUGCAUCGGGCUCUGUGCUGAUGGCUCGGAGCCUGGAGCCUGCCUUGGAUUCUGUGUCUCCCUCUGUUUCUCUGCCCCUUCCCUGCUCGGGCUCUGUCUCUCUCUCUCUCUCUCAAAAGUAAAUAAACAUUUAGGGGCGCCUGGGUGGCGCAGUUGGUUGAGCGUCCGACUUCAGCCAGGUCACGAUCUCGCGGUCCGUGAGUUCGGGCCCCGCAUCAGGCUCUGGGCUGAUGGCUCAGAGCCUGGAGCCUGUUUCCGAUUCUGUGUCUCCCUCUCUCUCUGCCCCUCCCCUGUUCAUGCUCUGUCUCUCUCUGUCCCAAAAAUAAAUAAACGUUGAAAAAAAAAAUUAAAAAAAAAAAAGUAAAUAAACAUUAAAAAAAAAAAGUUUUUAAAUAAAAAAAAAAAAUAAAAAAGGAAUGUCUGAAUUUUCUCCCUGAGUCAUAACAUGGCUAUAGCUGUUUGGUAACAGAGCCCAUUGGAUCUCCCUAAAGCCAAGAAUCUGGCGGUUGGUCUACUGAGGUUUGCUAAAGCUUGGAACAAAGCUAANAAGUUAUUACGCGGUUGAGCGUCCUACUUCGGCUCAGGUCAUGAUCUCACGGUCUGUGAGUUCCAGCCCUGCAUCGGGCUCUGUGCUGAUGGCUCGGAGCCUGGAGCCUGCCUUGGAUUCUGUGUCUCCCUCUGUUUCUCUGCCCCUUCCCUGCUCGGGCUCUGUCUCUCUCUCUCUCUCUCAAAAGUAAAUAAACAUUUAGGGGCGCCUGGGUGGCGCAGUUGGUUGAGCGUCCGACUUCAGCCAGGUCACGAUCUCGCGGUCCGUGAGUUCGGGCCCCGCAUCAGGCUCUGGGCUGAUGGCUCAGAGCCUGGAGCCUGUUUCCGAUUCUGUGUCUCCCUCUCUCUCUGCCCCUCCCCUGUUCAUGCUCUGUCUCUCUCUGUCCCACAAAUAAAUAAACGUUGAAAAAAAAAUUAAAAAAAAAAAGUAAAUAAACAUUAAAAAAAAAAAAGUUUUUAAAUAAAAAAAAAAAUAAAAAAGGAAUGUCUGAAUUUUCUCCCUGAGUCAUAACAUGGCUAUAGCUGUUUGGUAACAGAGCCCAUUGGAUCUCCCUAAAGCCAAGAAUCUGGCGGUUGGUCUACUGAGGUUUGCUAAAGCUUGGAACAAAGCUAAUAAGGAGAAAGGUGUCUGUCAUUAGAAACAGGGCUUGAUUCAGCACUGAGCUACAACAAAGACCUGUCCGUCCAUGUGACCCCUGGCUUUUCUCUUUCUCCUCAGCCGGGUCCCCCCCUAGACUCAGCUUUUCACCAAAGCUUGGAGACAGAUGUAAGUCCCCCCUGGCCCAACCCCUGCCGAGUUCUCAGAGGCGGGAAGAGAACGCUUUAGACGGUGGCGGUGGUGGUGGCCGUGGCCGCAGGGAGGACAGGGGAAGAGCCAGAUCUGGUCCAUAAAUAGCUCCUGUCCUCCUCUUUCCAGACUCUGUUGACCAAGUUGUGUGGGCAGGACCGGCUCCUGAGGAGGCUACAGGAGGAGAUAGACCAGAGGCAAGAGGAGAAGGUAUGAGGCUCUGAAACGGGGGAGGACUCUUGGCCUCUCCACCCAUCUCUCCCUUCCUGAGCCCCAGCGUGCCCCAGGAUUUGGGAGGACACCGUCUCUCUCUCUCUCUGGGGCUGUACGUGGAUUCAGAAGUUGAACCACCUUCCGUCUCGGUGCAGGAGCAGCUAGAAGCAGCCUUGGAGUUGACCAGGCAGCAGCUGAGCCAAACAACCAGGGAGGCCGCGGCUCCAGGGAGGGCCUGGGGGCGCCAGCGCCUCCUGCAGGACCGACUGGUCAGUGUGAGGGCCACUCUGUGUCACCUGACUCAGGUGAGCGUCUAGGAAGGAGCAUGCCCUCCCAGGAGGCCUGAGGACGCUGCUACAAGUUGUCAGUGAAGGGGACCUGCCAGCAGAGACUUAUGGGAAGGUGGUUCUUGAGCAUUCCCCUCUUUCCAGGUUUUAAACCAGUCAUCUUGACGGUCUUAGAGAGUGAGGGGCAAACAGCCAACAAACAGCAGACUUAAUUUAGUGGUUUGAGAGGGUGAAUUUGACAUGGGCUUCCUGGUUUUGAAUCUCAGCUCCUGCUGUGUGACCUUAGAAAAGUUACUUGACCCCUCUGGGCCUUAGAUGCCUCUCUCUCUCUCUCUCUCUUUCUCUCUCUUUUUUUUUUUUUGAGAGAGAGAGAAGAUGAGUAGACAGAGAAGGAGAGAGAGAAUCUUAAGCAGGUUCGACAGCCAGUGCACAGCCUGACCCGGGGCUUCCUUUCACAAACAGUGAGAUCAUGACCCGAACCGAAAUCAAGAGUCAGACGCUCAACCGGCUGAGCCACCCAGUUGCCCCCUCAGAUGCCUCCUCUAUGAACUUGAAAUGAUAAAAAUAGUAUUUAGUACAUACAGUCGUUGUAAAAAUUUCUUAAAUACAUACAAUCUCUAUAUAUAAAUAUAGAGAUUAUAUAUGUUAUAUAUAUAUGUUAUAUAUAUAUAACAUAUAUUAAAUGAGUGAUGAUUUAACACAUAUAUUAUGUAAUAUAUUUUCUAUAUAUAUCAUGUAUAUAUCAUAUAUUUGUGAAUAUUUAAAAGUUAGGUACCUGGUAGAUGGUAAGAAAUAUUUAAAUGUUAGCUAUAAUUAUUGUUAUCUGUAAAAUGGGGACAUUAAUAAUACCUACCUCACAAGAAUUAAAUAAAUGAGAGCUAAGUGUGGUGCCUAGUACAUGGUAAGCACCUAAUAAAUAUUAGCUGUGAUGAUCAUGAUUCUUCCUUGGGGGUGCUUAGAGACCCUGGGGGUCUCUCUCUCUCUGUCUUGACUGUCCCAAGAAUUUAUUAGAUCUGUAGACUCUUCCACCCUAGCGGAGUUCAGAGGUAAUCAGAGAAUUUAGGGAAACCUGUUAUUCGUCUACACUAGCAGCUCAUUGGAAUGGCAGGUUCCUUAUAGACUCUGGGGAAUCCUAGUAGUCUGAGCAAAGGGGCUCUUGGGAAUUUUUGUCCAUAUGUGUCCUUCUCCCCCCCCCCCAAAAUCUGGGCACUGGGGACCAGGCCUUCCUUCCUCCUCCUCGGGCUGGGAAAAAUGGAGUGGGGAAAGAUCUGGUGGGUGGGCGUACUAACCCUGUGUUUCCCUGUUUUGGGCACCUGAGGAGCGAGAGCGGGUUUGGGACACAUACAACAGCCUGGAACAGGAACUGGGCAGCUUGAGAGAGACUCUGGAGUACCUGCUGCACCUUGGUUCCCCCCAGGUAUACAUACCCCUGCCCCAAGACCCCACACUCCACCCUCCGCUCUUUGUCCGCCAUUGAAACCCUUUUGGCAUUUAAGCCCCUCCCACUUCGUUUCAAACUCCUCCCCUUACAUCCUUUCCUUACAUUUUGAACCCUUUAUUGUAGUUAAGACCUUGCCCUUCGUUUUAAGACACACCUGUUUGGAAUCACUCUCUCUUCUGGUUCUAAAUCUCUCCUCUAAUUUUGAAGCCCUGUCCUCUGGUUCAAAAUUUCACCCCUCAGCCCUGCCACAUCCUGUGUCCUGACUUUUGCUGUUUCAUUUAUCCUCCGGAAUUUCUAGUUUCAAAUCCAAUCACUUGGUUCAAGCUUCACUACUUUUUUUUUUUUAAUAUUUAUUUAUUUUUGAGAGGGGGGGGGGGACGGGCAGAGAGAGAGGGAGACACAGAAUCCGGAAGCAGGCUCCAGACUCUGAGCUGCCAGCACAGAGCAUGAUGCGGAGCUUAAACCCACGAAUCGUGAGAUCAUGACCUGAGCUGAAGUCGGAGGCUCACCCAACUGAGCCCCCCAGGCGCCCUAUUUUUUUAAAUGUUUAUUUAUUUUGAGAGAGACAGAGAGCACGAGCAGGGGAAGGACAGAGAGAGGGAGGGAGAGAAUCCCAAGCAGGCUCCAAACUGUUAGUGCAAAGCCCCACUUGGGGCUGGAUCUCACGAACCACGAGAUCACGACCUGAGCUGAAAUUAAGAGUCGGAUGCUUAACUGACUGAGCCACCCAGGUGCCCCUAAAGAUUUUAUUUUUAAGUAAUCGCUACAUCCAACAUGGGGCUUGAACUCACAACCCUGAGAUCAAGAGUCACAUGCUCCUCCAACUGAGACAGCCAGGCUUACCCCCUACCCUACUUCUUCAUUCUAAACCUAAUAAUCAAGUUUCUAGAUCAUAUAUCUUUAGUUUAAAACGUUGACUUCUAGUAUUAAAUGCAUACUCAGAUUUAAGUGCUGCUCUCUGCAUGAUAAACCCUUCCCCCUCCUUCCUAAAAUCCACUCUCACUGCUAAUCCCCCUCCCCACUGGUGUUAAAAAUCACUUGGCACCAGCAGUAUAUGCAAAGAACCAAAUUAGGUUUAUUACAGGAAUUCAAGGUUACUUUAACACUUGAAAAUCAGUCCAUGUAUUUUUGUAAAAAGGAGAAAAGCCUUCAUCUCAAGUCUAGCAAAUAAAGGUAUGAGGAGCAGAGAAAAAGAAGUAAACCUAUUUUUAUUUAUAGAUGACAUGAGUGUAUAUAUGUAGAAAAUCCAAAAUAAUCUCUGGAUAAGCUAGUAGAAUAAACCAAUUCAUCAAGGUCACUGAAUGCGAGGAUAAUACGCAUAAAUCAAUGGUCUUCCUGUAUGUUAGUACCAAAUGAAUAGAGAGUAUUUACAAACAAUAGUGUUUGUAAUUGACAUAAACAAGUAAAAUAUCCAGGAUGAAAUCUAAUGAAAGAUAUGCAAGGCAUCUAUUUGGCACGCCAUAAAACAUCACUGAGAGAAAUUAAAGAAGACUUAUAUAAAUGGAGAGAUAUACCAUGUUCAUGGAUAGGAAAGAUACCAUAAUAUAAAGAUGUAGUCUCUCCAGAUUGAUUUCCCCAGUGGGGAUUUACAAUCCCAGUACAAAUCUGGGAGGUGUCUGUGUAGAGAUUGACAAAAUGACUCUAAAUUGUAUCCAUCAGGGCAAAAGACUAAGAGUAGCCAAGGCAACCUCCAAAAACAAAGCUGGAGGACUAAGGCAAGUGAAUGUCAUGUCUGUCUGCAAAGCUACAGUUAAUAAGACAGUGUACUAAUGUCACAAGUUUAGACAAAUAGACAAAAGGGAUAGAAUAGGAUAUUCAAGAGCAGAUUCACAUAUAUUUAUAUGCUCUCAAACUUAUAAUGGAGAUAACUGCAGAGCAGUAUAGAAAAGACAGUGUUGGGGCGCCUGGGUGGCUGAGUUGCUUAAGCAUCUGACUUCGGCUCAGGUCACGAACUCACAGUUCAUGAGUGCAAGCCCUGCGUCGGGCUCUGUGCUGACAUUUCAGAGCCUGGCGCCUGCUUCAGAUUCUGCCUCUUUCUCUCUCUGCCCCUCCCCUGGUUGCCCUCUUUCUCUCUUUCUCAAAAAUAAACGUUAAAAAAAAAUUUUUUUUAAAAGAGUAGGAUAAAAUUAUCCGCGUAACCUCACUUUGUGCAGAAAUCUCUGUCCCCACCCAUUGCCCUGUUCUCUCCCACUCUCUCUCUCAAAAAUAAAUAAACAUUAAAAAGUUAAAAAAAAAAAGAAAGAAAAGCCAGUGUUUGUGAUAAAUUGUGAUGGGUCAAAGGGAUAUCUGUAUGGAAAUGGAUAUCCACAAAUAGAGCCUCCACAUGCAUACAUCAUGCGUUUAUGACUCCAUAAAUACAGCCUCGCUGAUUUCAGACCCAUCUUUAACCCUCCUGGUAUUUUCCCACCUUUUGAGUAGCGGAUUUCUCUCCUCCCCCCCCCCCCCCCCCAGGACAGAGCAUCUGCUCAGCAGCAACUAUGGAUGGUGGAAGACACGCUGGCAGGUCUGGGGGGCCCCCAGAAACCACCACCCAACGCUGAACCUGACUCCCCAUCCCCUGCACUCCAAGGCGAGGAGUCCUCAGAGAGGGAGGUGAGACGCACAAGCCUCUCUCCCCGCCCCCAGCUCCCUGUCCCAUCUGCCCUGGCCCAACUCAUCACCCACUCCCCUUUUUCUCUCUCCCUUUCUUUCUCUCAGCUAAGCACCCCAGGCAAGUAUCCUAGGCUCUGGAAGUAUCUAGGAUACUGUGCUGAUCAGCAGAGAGCCCUACAUGGGGCUCGAACUCAUGAACCGUGAGAUCAUGACCUGAGCCCAAGUCAGACCCUUAACCUACUGAGCCACCCAAGCACCCCUCCCCUUAUGUUGAAUAGGGAUAAUAAUUGCCACCUUGCAGGAGGGGAUUCAAUGAGAUAAUGCGAAUAAAGUGCUUAUCACAGCGCCAGAUGCAUAAUCAGUAUAAAACCUUGCACUGAAAAUGCCUUGCUAUGUGCCAGGCACUGUUCUAAGUGCCUUACAUGCCUGGAUUCAAUCUUCAGACAUGGAUUCAAAGGUGAAAUAUGGCCCAGAGAGGGAAAGUAACUUGAAGAAGGUUGCCCAGCUCCUAGGUGGCAGAGCUGAGAUGUGAAACUAGGACGUCUGGCUCCUGGUUUUCAGUCUUAACUCCUACUCAUGCUGUGUCUUGAUGGCCGAGUGCCUGAAAAAUGACAAUGAUAAGCAUUAUUCUCCUUUCCCGACCGUGCCAGAGCCUGCCUGAGUCCUUGGAGCUGAGCUCAUCCAGGUCCCCUGAGGCUGACUGGGGGCGGCCGCCCGGGGGCGACAGAGACCUCCCCAGCCCUCGCUCAGGUGAGUGUCCUGGCCCGGGUGGGACUUGCUUGGCAUUUCCUGUCCUCACCAAGUCCCGUUCUGUCCUCCCAGGUCUUGGAUCUCCGAGGGUCUCCCGGGCCUCCAGCCCUGAGAGUCGUCGUCCUGUUUCCCCACCGCCAGGAACCAAGGUAGGCAGCCCAUCUAGCCUCCUCGGGUCCAUCUUGUAACCCUUUAAUCUGACCACCCCACACUCUGGGGAGACAGCUGCGAGAAAGGAGUUCUAGGGCCACACCCCAGAGCAGAGAGAGAGACUGGCUGAGUGUUGGGAUUGAAUUCUGUCUCUGCUGCUUCUAAGCUGUGUGACUUCGGGUCAGUUAUUAAACCUCUCUGCCUCUAUGUUCUCAUCUGCAAAACAGAGCUAAUAGGAGUACCUACCGCCUAGAGCUGAUGUGAGUAUUCAAACUAAGCGAAUGCCCACUAGGUUGAAAAUAGUGCCUAGAUGUAGUAUCUCAUUCAUUCAUUCAACAAAUAUUUAUUAAAUAUCCCUUUGGCUGUCCAAUAAGGUAGCCAGUCGCCACAUGUGAUUAUUUAAGCCUAAAUGAAUUAUAAUUUGGGGCACCUGGGUGGCUGAACUCUGUUAAGCAUCCGACUCUUGAUUUCGGCCCAGGUCAUGAUCUCACGGUGCGUGAGUUCCAGCCCUGCAUCAGGCUUUGCAUUGACUGCACGGAGCCUGCUUGGGAUUCUCUCUCCUUCUCUCUCUGCCCCUCCUCCUCCUCUGUCUCUCAAAAAUAAAUAAGUAAACACUUAAAAGAAAUCAAUGAAUUAAAACGAGGGGAAGGGGCGCCUGGGUGGCGCAGUCGGUUGAGCGUCCGACUUCAGCCGGGUCACGAUCUCGCGGUCCGUGAGUUCGAGCCCCGUGUCAGGCUCUGGGCUGAUGGCUCGGAGCCUGGAGCCUGUUUCCGAUUCUGUGUCUCCCUCUCUCUCUGCCCCUCCCCCGUUCAUGCUCUGUCUCUCUCUGUCCCCCCCCCCAAAAAAAAAAGUUGGAAAAAAAAUCUUUAAAAAAAUUAACUAGGGGCGCCUGGGUGGCUCAGUCGGUUAAGCGGCCGACUUCAGCUCAGGUCAUGAUCUCUCGGUCUGUGAGUUCGAGCCCCGCGUCGGGCUCUGUGCUGACAGCUCAGAGCCUGGAGCCUGUUUCAGAUUCUGUGUCUCCCUCUCUCUGACCCUCCCCCAUUCAUGCUCUGUCUCUCUGUCUCAAAAAUAAAUAAAUGUUAAAAAAAAUUAAAAAAAAAUGAACUAAAAUGAAGUAAAAUGAAAAAAUUCACUUGCACUCACUGCAUUUCAAAUUCUUAGGAGCCACACUUGGCCAGAGGCUACCCUGUUGGACAGGGCAGAUACAAAACAUUGCCACCAUCACAGAAAGUUCUAUUGCACAGAGCUGUUCAGGCGCUGAGGGCACACACGUGAACAGAACGAGGAAAAAAAAAAUCCUUCCCUCAGGAGUCUGACAUUCUAGUGGGAAGAGGCAGAUUAUAAUUUACUGUACAUUAUUUUAUACGUCAUAAGUGCUGAAGAGGUAAAAGCAGAAGGUCUGGAAUGCCGGAAGAAGGGGUGCAAUUGUAAAUGGCUUGGUCUAGGGUAAGCCUCAUGCAAAGGUGACGCUUGUGCAGCUACCUGAAGGAGGUGAGGGAGCGAGCCUUGGGGAUAUCUGGUGGAAAAGCGUUACAGGCAAGGGGAACAGCCUUUGCAGAGGCUCUGGGGCAGGACUGGGCCUGCGGUGCUGCGGAAGCAGGUAGAAAGUCAGUGUGUCUGGAACCGAGUAAGCCAGCGAGGGGGAGAGGGGUAGAGGGCAGGAGACACGGGCCAAGGGCGUGGAUCGCGCAUGCGUGGUCCUGUGGCCCUAGGUGAGCCCGGAGCCCUGGAGGGUUCUGAGCUGCCCGAAGCGGAAACCGGCGCCCUCUGACGGCCGUGCGGGGAACAAGCCGCAGGGCGAGCGCUGAGGCCGGGACCCAGUGAGGACAGUCCAGGCAGGAGAUAACGGUCAUUUCCACUAGCUUAGAAGGAGUGGAGCUGUUGAGAGGGAGGCAGAUUCUUGUUACACCGGUUUUAUCCAAAACUCUCGGGACCAGAUGUAAUUCAAAAUGCAAACAUUUGCAGAUUCCAGGCUGGUAAUAUGCAUACACUGUGUAUUCUAUAAUAUCCCCCCAACAGCGCCACCCUUAAUCAAACACGUUACAUUUCUCUAGCAAAAUGUAUGAAUGUUCAUACUUAAACGGGAUUUGGUUUAUAAAUAACGUCUGAAUUUAAAUGUCAAGUUUUUAAAAAUAUAGCAACGAACAACCAAAUGAUCGAUUGAGUUCCGUGGAAUAAAAAUUGAUUAUAGGGGCCCCUGGGUGGCUCAGUCGGUUGAGCGUCCGGCUUCAGCUCAGGUCCUGAUCUCACAGUCCGUGGGUUCGAGCCCCGCGUCGGGCUCUGUGCCGACAGCUCGGAGCCUGGAGCCCACUUCACAUUCUGUGUCUCCCUCUCUCUCUGCCCCUCCCGGGCUCCCAUUCUGUCUGUCUGUCUCUCUCUCUCUCUCUCUCUCUCUCUCUCUCAAAAAUGAAUAAACAUUGAAAAAAAUUUUAAAAAUUGAUUAUAAAUACCAGGCACUUUUUUUUUUUUAAUGUUUUAUUUAUUUUUGACAGAGAGGGAGAGAGAGAGACAGAGCAUGAGCGGGGGAGGGGCAGAGAGAGAGGGAGACACAGAAUCGGAAGCAGGCUCCAGGCUCUGAGCCGUCAGCCCAGAGCCCGACAUGGGGCUGGAACUCACAAACCGCGAGAUCAUGACCUGAGCCAAAGUCUGUCACUUAACCGACUAAGCCGCCUAGGGGCCCCAAACGUUUAUUUAUUUUUGAGAGAGAGAGAGAGAGAGAGAGAGAGAGUAAGAGUAUGAGUGGGGGAGGAGCAGAGAGAGAGGGAGACACAAAAUCCAAAGCAGGCUCCAGGCUCUGAGCUGUCAGCACCGAGCCUGACGCGGGGCUUGAACCUACAAACCACAAGAUCAUGACCUGAGCCGAAGUUGGCCACUUAACCGACUGAGCCUCCCAGGCGCCCCUGGGGUGUCUCAUCUUAAUUGAGCAAAUCGGUUGGGAUCUCUUGGUCACUUAAUAAAUCCACACAGUUGAAGGUCAGCAAUGAACUGUGUAAGGGCUGAGGGCAGGCCUCCCCAAGAUGGGCCACUUUAGCAUGAAGAUUAUUCUGAGCUAAAGGCAAUCGAGACCCUGGGGGCCCAAGAGAAACAUUGGUGCCUCCCUUAACUACAUAGAAAAAUCGAAAUCGGAGCUCUUUCCCAGAAUUAGGGUUAUUGGCUGAGAUAAGUUUUAUCUGAGUGGCCCAUCUGUAUGGCUGGACAACCAUCUCAUUACCAAAUAUCUCCUCCUCUUCUCGUCUCUCUGUGAAGUGCGUCCCUUCCCUCUAGAGUCCCAGGCCCCUACCCCCUUGUCCUUGGUUCGGAAUGAUAUGCAUACCUCAUUUUGCCUGACUACCUCUGGAAUCUCCACGUUCCUGCGGACUCCCCGUGCGUCCGCUGUUACAUUUGGAUUUCUCCGCUUAAUCUGUCUUGUGUGAAUUUGAUUCUUGGUCCGGCUGGACGGACGCUUGAAGGGGCUGGGGAUUCUUGCUCCCUGAGAACUGACCACGUAUUUCGUCUUUUUCUCCACCCCCAAUGUGGGGCUCGAACUCACCAUCUUGAGAUCAGAGUUGCCCGGUCUUUGGACUGAAUUCACCAGCCAGGGCGCCCCUGCAGGGCCAUUUGAAACAUUCUCGGAGCCCUAAAUCUGUGCUUGGAUUUUUCUUCUGAGCCCUUAGAAGUCACAGAUAUUUCUUUUUUUCUUUACUUUUCUUUUCUUUGUAAGUUUAUCCAUUUAUUUUGAGAGAGAGAGAGAGAGAGCAGGAGCGCGAGCGGGGGAGGGACAGAGAGAGGGAGAGAGAGAGAGAAUCCCAAGCAGGCUCCACACCCAGGACAGAGUCUGACACGGGGCUCAAUCUCACUAACUGUGAGAUCAUGAUCUGAGCCAAAAUCGUCGGUCGCUCGACCAACUGAGCCACCCAGGUGCCCGUUACCAAUAUUUCUGUUGCUUCUUUUCACCGUAACCCACGGGGCCGUCUUUGGCUCCUUUGUUUAUCUUGGAGAUCAGUUUAAACCAAAAGGCAUAAAUAACGAAAAGCAAGAAAGUAGCCACGGAUGGCAGGGGCCCGCAUGACAGAGGAUGUGCUGAGACUCAGGUGACGAUGCUGUACGUCAUAAUACCAGGUGGAUAUCGGCACCAAGUUUAAGAAAACGUGUCCGUUUUUAGGUUUUUUGGGUUUUUGGGGUUUUUUUUGUUUUUUGUUUUUUGUUUUGUUUUUUUUUUUGCUGUGGCAGGGGAGGGAGGGGGGAAGUAGAAUUGCGCAUAGGAGAUUUUUGGAACUGAUCUGGAAGGUGGAGCCAGUAAGAUUUCUUGGCACAUUACAGGUAGGGUAUGAGGAGUCGGGGAGUGACGAUUGGGUCCUUGGCCUGGGCCUCUGGGGCAGUGCAGUUACCAUGCAGGAGAUGGUGGAGGGAAGGUGAGGAAUCCAGGUUUGAAUAUGCUGAUUAAUUUCGAGCUUCAAGUUUGAGAUUAUUCAAGUCAUCGGGGCUGUUGUGGGCCCUGGGCUCGUGUGUACUGGGUUUCGCUGGACGCUCUGAUUGCUGAGCUGAAUCAGGCCACAUCUCAGGCUUUGGAGAGCCUCAGACGGGAUCACGAUGAGAAGAGAGGGAGGCGUGUGCGUGGUGCAAUGGCAAUAGCUCAGGGGCUCUGGGGGACACCAGCGGGCAGCUCCCAGACUCAGCCUAGGCGUGUUGCGGGACGGUUUCCUGGAGGUAGAGAGACCUUCAAGAGUAGGUUAGAAUUUACCAAAUGGGGAAUUUACUAGGGAAACAGCUGGUGCAAAUGUUUCUAAAGCCAGCAUCUCUGCUAGCCUACAGGAAGCCUUUUUGUGAGUUCGGAGACAGGCACGCACCCCCUCUGGGAGGGCAGAGCAUGACUUGGUCGGUGGAGGGCUCAGCCCUUGGGCAGUGAGCAACACAUACAUCUGUACAGGGCCGCUCAGGAGCCCAGAACUCUGGCCUCCAGAACCCCAUCCGCCAACUGCAGGGUGGUCCAAUUCAGAGCAACGAACAUCUCCUGUGGGAGAAGUCCCUCACAGCGUGGGACACUCCAGAGGUCACUGCCUGGAGGUCAUGGCCCAGAAGCUCGGAUGGUAUGUCUCCGGGUCAGAGAGCUCUGCUUGGGGUCUUAUAGCUGCAGCUUUGUUGUGUCUUAUCUGUGGCUGGCUCCCUGUAUGUGUCUGUGUCCACACGGCCCCCUUUCCUUAAGGACACAUGUCUGCGGCUGGAGAGCCCCGUCUACCUGUCUCCUGCCCGGAGCAGCUGACAAGUCCCGACAGCCUUCCUGCAUCUCAGUCCCUCUCUGUCCCCUCCGGUUCAAGCUGGCAGUGUUCCUGCUGAGAUGAUUUCCUGGAUCCCAUGUCACAUGCCUAAUCUCUUAGCAAACGGGUUGUCUGGCCACACCCUUGGGGUUCUCUCCAGACUUCUGGUUUCUUUUUAGCGCACUUUUCUCCUCCCCCCCCCCGCCUUUGAUUUAGCUCUGUCCUCUUGCGUUGUUUUUUUUUUUUAAUUUUUUUUUAAUGAUUUUACUUAUUUUUGAGCAGAGCAUGAGUGGGGGAGGGGCAGAGAGAGAGAGGGAGACACAGAAUCCGAAGCAGGCUCCAGGCUCUGAACUGUCAGCACAGAGCCCGUCGCGGGGCUCGAACUCACAGACUGCGGGAUCUCGACCUGAGCCGAAGUCGGACGCUUAACCGGCUGAGCCACCCAGGCGCCCCUGUCCUCUUGCGUUUUAAGCUCUUCAGGCUAGAAGCCCAUGAUCAAGGUGUGAGCAGGGCCGUGUUCCCUCUGAAGGUGCCAGGAUCUGUUUGAGGCCCCUGUCCUAGCUUCUGCUGGUUCCUUGGCUUGUGGGGGCCGACUCCAGUUAUACGAGGCAUUUUCCCUGUGUGUGUUGUUCAUCUGGUUUUGACGGCCAGAGAGAGCUCCCCAAAUCCUUUCAAAGGCCAACCCAAGUCGAUCCUCUUGACAAUUUAGUUAAUGCAUCUCCUUCUUGGGGCGCCUGGGUGGUUCAUGUUGAGCGUCUGACUCUAGGUUUCGGCUCAGGUCAUGAUCUCAUGGUUCAUGGGAUCGAGCCCCACAUUGGGCUCUGCACUGACAGCACAGAACCCACUUGGGAUUCUCUUUCUCCUCUCUCUCUGGCCCUCCCCCAACUUGUUCACUCUCUCUCUCAAAGUAAAUAAGCAUUAAAAAAAAUUUUUUUUUGUUUUUAAAUACAUCUCAUUCUUCUUUUUGUUGUCUCUAAGUUGACUCAAGAGUUGUUUCUUGGGGUGCCUGGGUGGCUCAGCUGGUUAAGCGUCUGACUUCAGCUCAGGUCGUAAACAUGCGGUUCGUGAGUUCAAGCGCCACGUCAGGCUCUGUGCUGAUGGCUCAGAGCCUGGACCCUGCUUCGGAUUCUGUGUCUCCCUCUCUCUCUGUUCCUCCCCUACUUGCACUGUGUGUGUGUGUCUCUCUCUCUCUCUCUCAAAAAUAAGUAAAGACUGGGGCGCCUGGGUGGCUCAGUUGGUUAGGCAUCCGACUUCGGCUCGGGUCAUGAUCUUGAGGUCCGUGAGUUAGAGGCCUGUGUUGGGCCCUGUGCUGACAGCUCAGAGCCUGGAGCCUGCUUUGGAUUCUGUGUCUCCCUCUCUCUCUGCCCCUCCCCAGCUUGGACUCUGUCUCUCUCUCUCUCUCUCUCAAAAAUAAAUAAACACUAAAAAAAUAAUAAAUAGAUAAACAAAUAAAUAAAGAGUAAAAACAAAACAAAACAGGGGCGCCUGGGUGGCGCAGUCGGUUGAGCGUCCGACUUCAGCCAGGUCACGAUCUCGCGGUCCGUGAGUUCGAGCCCCGCGUCGGGCUCUGGGCUGAUGGCUCGGAGCCUGGAGCCUGUUUCCGAUUCUGUGUCUCCCUCUCUCUCUGCCCCUCCCCCAUUCAUGCUCUGUCUCUCGCUGUCCCAAAAAUAAAUAAACGUUGAAAAAAAAAAUUUUUUUUAAAAAAAAUAAAAAACAAAACAAAACAAAACAAAACAAAAACAAAAAAGCCCAGAAUCUCGACUACUCAUGCAGAGAAGCUGGAUAUGUCCAGGAAGUGUGGGUGCUUGUCGGGCUGGGGGUUUGGAUUCAAACAGGGCAACUGAUGGAACUGAGGCCAGAGAGGCCGGUUGGGCCUUAAACAUCCUGAGGGUGCUCAGAGCUGCGGGAGGACAAAGUCUGCUCUCGGCGUAGAAAGAUCGCCCUGAAUCUGGUGGGGACCUUAACGGGAGAGGGCAAGACUGGAGGCCGAGAGAGGUUCAGGGAAGAGAUUAAGGGGAGCACCAAGGUUGGGGCCUCAAGCGUUCCUCGUCUCCCCAGGCCCCCCUCGCCCGGCCUCGGAUGAGUGCCCAAGAGCAGAUGGAGAGAAUACGCAGAAACCAGGAGUUUGGACGGCCUCUCCCUCGCCCUGCUUCCCCCCGGCACCUCACUCUGGGGAGAACACUGUCCCCAGCCAGACGCCAGCCUGACAGAGAACAAAGGGUGAGGGGAAGAACAGAGGGCGCAAGGUGGGGUGGUAACGGAUCCUCUCCUUCAAGUUUGAGGCUCAGUUUCCUUCUCUGUAAAAUGGGGAUUUCUCUCCCGCUUUACCCAGAACUGGGUUUCCAGACUCACCCCUGAUCUGUGUGCCCAUGUGAUGGCUCCCCUAGUGGGGUGGGGGUGCGGCAGGGGAGGCAGAGACAGUGUCGCUUCACCAGUGUUGUUCUUCCUUCAGAAUGGGGGGUCACAGGUCUCGACUGUGGACCCAGCUUUUCUUUUUUAGUUCCUCUGUGUGAUCAAAGCCGGGGUGGGGGGGGGCGGGGGUUGGGGAGGGAAGUGAGCAAGUAAGAAGAUGAUUAUAUUCAUACUGUUGCAAUGGGGAGAGCAUUCCAGAGCUGAAGAUACGAUCAGCACGAUGUGUGUGAGACUUUUCUAGGAGGAAUUAGACAAGUCCUAGGUGGGUCAUUUUACAGCUGGGAUUGUUUUUGUAAUCAGAAGGUGUCUCAGCCAGACACCAACAGCUCAGGGGUGUUAGAGGGGGUUAGAGGGGACCAACAGCUCAGCUACUCCAUUAUGAGGCGUAAAUUGUGAAUUUGGAGGGUCUGUUUCUGGCCUUGUCUUGUCAUAGGUGAACAAGAGGGUGGUCAUUUGUCAGUCUUAUGUAGGUCAUAUGGAGAAGGGUGCUUUGCAGUAAGCCAUUUCCCCGAAUGCAAAUGGCUGGGGGGGGGGUACUUUCUUAACCCUUGCUUUUUUCCAGGAGUGCAUGUAAAGUUAAACAUUGUCAGUGUCUCUGGGGCAAUUUCAUUCCCUCUCUGAGCCCCCUUCAUUUCACCCUCAAAAUCAGACCAUGAGGACUUCCAGGUGAGGAAUUUUAAUGCCCCGAUUCCUUUGCAGCCUGUCCAGGGACACUCAGGAGCCCCCAAAUGGCUCAGAAGCUCUGGAUCCUGGAGCAGGUAAGGAAGUGGAAAGUGAGGCAGGAAGCAGAAAAUCAAUUUGCCAAAGGCUGCUUGCUGUCUCUUGAGUACUAAGAUAUACAGACUGCAGAAGCUUUUAGAGAUGCUUGAAUUCCUGGGCCACCAGAAAGGCCAGGAUCCGCAGUGAGAACUGGAGUUUCCCAAACUGCAGAACUGGAUCGAUAUGAAACUCCUUUUCUCUGUUAGGAAAGCGGGUGAAAUUUAACAAGGAAUAGACUAUGAAUCCCAUAAUGCAAGCUCUGUUUAAAGUCCUUUAGAGACAUGUGCUAGGGACUACGACUCCUGGGAGGACAUGCAUGGCCCUGUGGUACUGGCUAAUUGUAGACGCCCCCCCAAAUCUCUUUUUUUCUAGUCCGAGGACCACCACCCCUUAUUUGCCAACAUCCGAAGGUCACCGGGAGAGAGUCCUCAGCCUCUCUCAAGCUCUGGCCACCGAGGCAUCGCAGUGGCACAGAAUGAUGACAGGUGAGGAGGGGCUGGGGAUCUUGGACUCCUGGGUUUUAGGGAAGAGGGAGCCAGACAGAGCCUGGAAUCCUUGGUGCAGGUCGGGAGGGGUCUGAGAGCUGCUGGAAAUCCUUUGUCUUGAUGAGUAAAGUGCCCUUGAGGGCUCCGAAGUUCCAGAUCCCAGGAAGGAGGGGACAGGAUUUCAGGACUCCUGGGUCUGGGGGAGGAGGGGGUUGGGGCCAGACCUGUGGGUCUGAGGGAGGAGAGGGUGGGGACUGGAAUCCUGGGUCUAAGAGGAAAGGCCUGGGGGUCUGGACUCCUGUGUCCCAAAGUUUGUCAUUUUCAUCCCCCCAAUCGUGCUAUGCAGGUGGACAUUUGGACUCCCGAGGAGACCCUCUUCCCCCCGCGCCACCGCCUCCGUCAGAUCCCACCCCCCAGGUGACCUCGCCCCCGAGGUCUCCAGUGGCUAAUUCCAGUAAUUCCAGCUCUGCUGGGUGCUCCCACCGGGGUAGUGGGCGUGGCGCAGGCCCCGCCUCUUGGGAGCCCACGUGGGAAUCCGGGACCGCCCCUCCCGCCCUGACCCAAGAAGAGGGGGCGUGGCCUCUGCGGGUCACUCUGCUGCAGUCCAGCUUCUGACCUGCCCCACGCGAGCGCCGCAGCCAAUCGGGACGUGAGGGCGUGGCCUCGAGGUACCGCCCGGAGAUCUGGAGCCACUCAGGGCGCAGUGGGGGCGUGGUCUGGUCUCCAUGGUGGCCUGAGGAGAAGUGUAUAUCGCCAAAGUUUGAUUUUUCCCAAUGCUUGUCCAAAUGCGGAUUAAAACUUUGAACUUUUAGUCAAUAGCUUUCUCUCUGUCUGUUUGGGGUUGUGACACUGGGGUCUCUUAGGGGCAGAGCUGGAGUCGUGGACUCCAGCGUCCCGAGGAGUGAAGAGAGCAG